CUGGCGGUAUGCUUAACACAUGCAAGUCGAACGGAAACGAUACUAGCUUGCUAGUAGGCGUCGAGUGGCGGACGGGUGAGUAACGCGUAGGAAUCUGCCUGAUAGUGGGGGAUAGCCCGAAGAAAUUCGGAUUAAUACCGCAUAAUCUAUUCUUAGUAAAGUGGGGGACUUUCGAGCCUCACGCUAUCAGAUGAGCCUGCGUAAGAUUAGCUAGUUGGUAGGGUAAAAGCCUACCAAGGCAACGAUCUUUAGCUGGUCUGAGAGGAUGAUCAGCCACAUCGGGACUGAGACACGGCCCGAACUCCUACGGGAGGCAGCAGUGGGGAAUAUUGGACAAUGGGGGCAACCCUGAUCCAGCAAUACCGCGUGUGUGAAGAAGGCCUGAGGGUUGUAAAGCACUUUCAAUUGUGAAGAAAAGUUAACGGUUAAUAACCGUUAGCCUUGACGUUAACUUUAGAAGAAGCACCGGCUAACUCCGUGCCAGCAGCCGCGGUAAUACGGAGGGUGCAAGCGUUAAUCGGAAUUACUGGGCGUAAAGCGUGCGUAGGCGGUUUAUUAAGUCAGAUGUGAAAGCCCCGGGCUUAACCUGGGAACUGCAUUUGAAACUGGUCAACUAGAGUAUGGUAGAGGAAAGUGGAAUUUCUGGUGUAGCGGUGAAAUGCGUAGAUAUCAGAAGGAACAUCAAUGGCGAAGGCAGCUUUCUGGACCAAUACUGACGCUGAGGUACGAAAGCGUGGGUAGCAAACAGGAUUAGAUACCCUGGUAGUCCACGCCGUAAACGAUGAUAACUAGCCGUUGGGGGGAUUUACCCUUUAGUGGCGAAGCUAACGCGUUAAGUUAUCCGCCUGGGGAG
Molecule: ribosomal RNA, 853 nt
Filed under: uncultured Gammaproteobacteria bacterium
Lineage: Bacteria; Pseudomonadati; Pseudomonadota; Gammaproteobacteria
Description: bacterial SSU rRNA
Rfam family: Bacterial small subunit ribosomal RNA
Source: RNAcentral